CCUGAGAGGGCGGACGGACACACUGGGACUGAGACACGGCCCAGACUCCUACGGGAGGCAGCAGUGGGGAAUUGUUCGCAAUGGGCGCAAGCCUGACGACGCAACGCCGCGUGGAGGAUGAAGAUUUUCGGAUCGUAAACUCCUUUCGAUCGAGACGAAUGGCCUCUGGGCUAACAUCCCGGAGGAAUGACGGUACCGAGAGAAGAAGCCCCGGCUAACUCCGUGCCAGCAGCCGCGGUAAUACGGGGGGGGCAAGCGUUGUUCGGAAUUACUGGGCGUAAAGGGCUCGUAGGCGGCCAUCUAAGUCAUACGUGAAAUCCCUCGGCUUAACCGGGGAACCGCGUCUGAUACUGGAUGGCUUGAGUUCGGGAGAGGGAUGCGGAAUUCCAGGUGUAGCGGUGAAAUGCGUAGAUAUCUGGAGGAACACCGGUGGCGAAGGCGGCAUCCUGGACCGAUACUGACGCUGAGGAGCGAAAGCCAGGGGAGCAAACGGGAUUAGAUACCCCGGUAGUCCUGGCCCUAAACGAUGAAUGCUUGGUGUGGCGGGUAUCGAUCCCUGCCGUGCCGAAGCUAACGCAUUAAGCAUUCCGCC
This 592-nucleotide ribosomal RNA is filed under the name uncultured bacterium. Its description in RNAcentral is "bacterial SSU rRNA". It matches the Rfam family "Bacterial small subunit ribosomal RNA", at positions 291 to 873 of the family's 1533-position model. The record is from RNAcentral.